RNAcentral lists this ribosomal RNA (124 nucleotides) under Paramormyrops kingsleyae. Lineage: Eukaryota; Metazoa; Chordata; Actinopteri; Osteoglossiformes; Mormyridae. The record is from RNAcentral.
GCCAGCAGUCAUACUACCUGCAAUGCAGAUUAGGUAAUCCCCUGCAGCUAUGCAGCUAUGCAGGUCUGAGCCUGAGCAGUACUUGGAUGGGAGACUAGAUAGGAAAGCUGGGUUGCUGCUGGCA